GACGAACGCUGGCGGCGUGCUUAACACAUGCCAGUCGAACGGAAAGGCCUCUUUCGGGGGGUACUCGAGUGGCGAACGGGUGAGUAACACGUGAGUAACCUGCCCUUGACUUUGGGAUAACUUCAGGAAACUGGGGCUAAUACCGGAUAGGAGCUCCUGCUGCAUGGUGGGGGUUGGAAAGUUUCGGCGGUUGGGGAUGGACUCGCGGCUUAUCAGCUUGUUGGUGGGGUAGUGGCUUACCAAGGCUUUGACGGGUAGCCGGCCUGAGAGGGUGACCGGCCACAUUGGGACUGAGAUACGGCCCAGACUCCUACGGGAGGCAGCAGUGGGGAAUAUUGCACAAGGGGUGGAAGCCUGAUGCAGCAACGCCGUGUGCGGGAGGACGGCCUUCGGGUUGUAAACCGCUUUCGCUCAUGACGAAGCUUUGUGUGACGGUAGUGGGUAAAGAAGCACCGGCUAACUACGUG
RNAcentral lists this ribosomal RNA (467 nucleotides) under uncultured bacterium. Its description in RNAcentral is "partial 16S ribosomal RNA". It matches the Rfam family "Bacterial small subunit ribosomal RNA", at positions 28 to 507 of the family's 1533-position model. The record is from RNAcentral.